This 3486-nucleotide long non-coding RNA is filed under the name Gossypium barbadense (sea-island cotton). RNAcentral's name for it is "long non-coding RNA (GBAR_LNC009326)". The record is from RNAcentral. Lineage: Eukaryota; Viridiplantae; Streptophyta; Magnoliopsida; Malvales; Malvaceae.
AAAAUAAACAGAAUAGGCAAACGUGAAGCAGGGGAAGGGAAGGAAGAAAGAAAGGAAAGAAAGAAAAGGGAAAAUUCAAGGUUUGAAGCUUUAAAGUUUAAUAGGUAAGUCAAUUUAGCCUUUUUUUACUUAGUUUUGAUGUUUUAAAAGUUUUAGAACAAAGUUUUGAUGAAAUUAAGUUAAUAUUUUGAAAGUUAUUAGAUUUCUAAAUAUUGUUCAUGUUGAAUAAAAAGAUGAAUUAGGGAUUAAAUUGAUAGAAAUUCAAGUUAGAAAUGAAAUAAGGAUUGAAUUGUAAAGUAAUUCAUAAGUUUUAUGUUGUAGAGACUAAAUUGAUGAAAUUUUGAAAUAAGGAAAAUAUGCUGGAAAUUUUAUAGUUAAGUAUGAGUUUGGACAAAAUUUGAAUAGAAAUGAAGUAUGAAUUGAGAUAGAAAAAGUAAGUGAAUUUAGUUAAGAUUAAAUUAAAAUUAAAGUAGAAAUUGAAUAGAAAUUGUAUUAAUUAGAUAUAAAUUAGUAGUGAAUUAACGAAUAUGAAUUGUUUUAAUUCCCAUAGCUAACGUUGUCUCGGGAAAUUUCGGCUAAGCAAGGAAAACUGGCAAAGACAACGGGAGUUAGCUCGAGAAAAUACGGUUUGUAUUUCUAUAAUCCGAACCUAGUUAUUAAUUGUUAUAUUUUUUAUUCAAUGUAAUUAAUAAAUAUUGAACUGAGAAUUAUUGUGUUUAUAAUGGAAAUGGAUUAAUUUGGUAUGUGAUGAAUUUAUAUUGAUUAAAUUAAAUUGAAUUAUAUAUUAUAAAUAUAUAUAUGUGUGUGUGAAUGAGAUAUUGUGCAAUUAUGAUAAUUGAAUUUUGGAUAAAUGUUAUGAUAAAUAAUUAAGAUGGGAAUUAUUUGUAUUGUGUCUUUAUAAUUGAAAUGAAUUGAUUUAGUGUGUGAUAAAUUUAUAUUGAAUUGAUUUAUGAAUAUAUGUGAAUGUUUGAAUUGAAAUGAAUAUUGAUGUGGAAAUUGAAUAAUAAAUAUUUGUUAUAUUGGAAAAUAUAUGUAGUUGGAAGUGUGAUGAAAUUGAUAGAAAAUUGUGAUUAUUGUGAAAUUGAAUAUUUAUUAGUGAAAAGUGAAUGGAAUUAUAUUGAAUUGAAAAUAUAUAUUUUAUUAAUUAAAAUAUGAAUUAAUUGAAAACUGGAAAGUGAAUUAAAUACCCUAUUAACUAGUCGGACUAGUCGGAUAUAGUGGGCAUGCCAUAGGAUAUGAAAGAGUACGGGUUUUGCCGGCUUACUGAUCAGGCACUUAUGUGCUGACUACUGUUACUGUUACCGUUACUGUUACCGAUUCGGCACUUUGUGUGUCAGAUGUUGUUACUAUUACCGUUACUGUUACUGUUUCGGAUUUGUUUCGAUGAGGUACUCCGUGUACCGUACUGUUACUGUUCCGGAUUUGUUUCAAUGAGGUACUCUGUGUACCGUACUGCUACUGUUACUAUUACUGUUACUGUUCCGGCUUCGGCUGAUGAGGCACUAUGUGCCGUACUAGUGUGUUGGUUGGAUCCGUGUAUCUGUCUAGGUCCGAGUCAUGUUAAUAAGGGUAAAUAAAGGAACUAGAAAGAUCGAUUGUUACUGAAUAAUUUAAUUAUUACUGUAUAUUUGAUUUUUACUGAAUAAUUGACUGUUACUGGAUAACCGAUCAAUUGAUUGAUACUGAAUAACUGAUUAUUAUUGAAUAAUUGAUUGUUACCGAAUAACUGACUAUUACUAAAUAAAUAAUUGUUCUGAUUGACUGAUCGUUAAUGAAUAUUACUGAUUGAUUAAUUGCUAUUGAAAAAUAAUAAAUGAUUUUGAAUUUAAAGUAGACCAAAACAUUAGUUGGAAAGUGAAUGUUUGAAUACUCAUUGAGUUUGAAAAGUUCAAUAUAUAUAAAUUAAUAUGUUUUAUAAUUGUUUAAGUGUUCGGAUUAUAGAAAUACCACUGAGUGUAUACUCAGCGUGCGGUUUGUUUCCGUGCGCAGGUUAAGGCUAGACCGUUGAAUCAGCAUCCCAAGUCGAUCCUGAAUUCAAUGAGGUAAAGUAUGUUGAGUAUUGGUAAUGGCGUGUACCUAGGACGUCUUAUGAGAGUCAUUUAGGUUGUGAAAGUAUUGAUAAAACAAGUAAAUUAUGGUUGGCAAUGGUAUAUAGUAUGAAUUUGAAAUUUGAAAGAAAAAUUCGUAGUAAUUCUCAUUUAGUCCCGAAUUGAUUUUACUGUUCAUAUUGGACCGCGAGGGCCCAUUAAAGUGACGUCAUCUUAAAAUUAUGAUGACUCUAAAUGUUUAUAUUUAAUUAAUGUCUGUAUUGUACGGUACUGAUUGGUAAUGUCUCAUAACCCUAUUCUAGCGACGGUAUGGGGUUAGGGGUCGUUACAAUAAGAACUUAUGAGUAUUAUAGUAAUGGAUUGUAGUUUAUGCGAAUAGAAGGUUGAAUUAAGUUUUUUUUUUGUGAAAAGGUUGAAUUGAGUUUUAAAUACAUGUACUUGUAAUGUUUUAUGCCAUAAUAAAGUCAUUUGUUUCAUUUUGUUCAAUGAGUGAUUAAAGUUUAGUUCAAAUAAAUAUGUAUAUGAAAUGGCCUAAGUUAUUAAAAGAUGAAAUGGAAAACAUUGAUAUAUGUAGUUUGUAUGAAUAAGGUAUUAUUUAAAUACAUGAUGAAUGAUAUAUAUAGAAUGUUUACUGUGAUAUAUUCCAUGAAUUGGUUGAAUUUAUAUGCUCCUUUAUCCACCUACUAACCUUGUAAAGCUGUGUGUAUAGGAGUGAAAUGUAUGCAUGAUCUAAUGAAUGAAUCCAUGCUUGAAUGGUUUAAAUAUAACAUGUUUGGUAAGUUUAAGUUGGCAUUAUACGAGCUUAUUAAGCUAAUUGCUUAUGUUAGUUGUUUAUCAUUCUGUAGGUCGUCAAAAAGCUCGAACGGCUGGAAUCAAGUCAAAGUACAUUCACACUAUCCACCCUUCAUCUCAGGAGAAGAUUUGGAUAUUUUGAUGUCGGGUUAUAAAUGGCAUGUACUAGGAGUUUAAGUUAUUUUGUUUAUGAUGGUGUUGUUUAUAAGUUAGUUUGAGUAAGUUUUGCAUUGUAUAUAUAUAUGUUUGGUAUCUUUGGGUUAUGUUUGUGACUGGUAGUGCUUUUGGUCAUUAGCUAAAUGCCUAUUAUGAUUAGCUUGAUAUAUGGUAAAUGGAUGUGAUGAAAUGGAGGUUUUAGUAUGUCUUAAAAGUAAUGUCUUGUAAAUAUUAAGUAUGGGUUUGUUUAGAUGUUUAAUUUGUGGUACCAAUGAGGGUACAUUGGAUAGGCAUUUAGAUUGGAUGAUAUGUGUGUUCUGAUCAUUUUAGUUAUGCCUCUUGAAAGUAGAUAGCUUAUGGCUUAAUGAAAUGUGAAUGAAAUGGUUAUUUGGUAUGUUUGCUACAGGUUGAGGUGUGAACCUGCAACAUUGUAAUUGAAUUGAUUUGGUGUUUGAAUUGAGGUGCCAAGUCAUGGCAUAUUGGUUAGGCA